UCGGAUUGCAGUCUGCAACUCGACUGCAUGAAGCCGGAAUCGCUAGUAAUCGCGGAUCAGAAUGCCGCGGUGAAUACGUUCCCGGGUCUUGUACACACCGCCCGUCACACCAUGGGAGUCGGAAAUGCCCGAAGCCGGUGGCCUAACCGAUAAGGGAGGAGCCGUCGAAGGCAGGUCUGAUGACUGGGGUGAAGUCGUAACAAGGUAGC
RNAcentral lists this ribosomal RNA (209 nucleotides) under uncultured bacterium. Its description in RNAcentral is "partial 16S ribosomal RNA". It matches the Rfam family "Bacterial small subunit ribosomal RNA", at positions 1293 to 1500 of the family's 1533-position model. The record is from RNAcentral.